GACUAUACUUCAGAGUUUGAUCCUGGCUCAGGACGAACGCUGGCGGCGUGCCUAAUACAUGCAAGUAGAACGCUGAGGACUGGUGCUUGCACCGGUUCAAGGAGUUGCGAACGGGUGAGUAACGCGUAGGUAACCUACCUCGUAGCGGGGGAUAACUAUUGGAAACGAUAGCUAAUACCGCAUGACAAUGGAGGACCCAUGUCUUUCAUUUAAAAGGUGCAACUGCAUCACUAUGAGAUGGACCUGCGUUGUAUUAGCUAGUUGGUGAGGUAACGGCCCACCAAGGCGAUGAUGUUUAGCGGGGUUGAGAGACUGAUCCGCCACACUGGGACUGAGAUACGGCCCAG
Molecule: ribosomal RNA, 347 nt
Filed under: uncultured bacterium
Lineage: Bacteria
Description: bacterial SSU rRNA
Rfam family: Bacterial small subunit ribosomal RNA
Source: RNAcentral